GCUGUGGUAUUGUAAUGGUUAGCACUUCCGCCUAGUAAGCAAGAAGAUCCGGGUUCGAAUCCCGGCCACAGCA
This is a non-coding RNA of Schistocerca cancellata (South American locust), 73 nucleotides long. The record is from the annotation of a RefSeq genome assembly. NCBI's taxonomy places the organism in Eukaryota, Metazoa, Arthropoda, Insecta, Orthoptera, Acrididae.